Molecule: long non-coding RNA, 3844 nt
Organism: Physeter macrocephalus (sperm whale)
Lineage: Eukaryota; Metazoa; Chordata; Mammalia; Artiodactyla; Physeteridae
Exons: 8
Source: RefSeq, a predicted model, not a curated record
GGCGCGGCUUUGUGGCGGCAGCGGACCGUGGAGGCCGGGUGCAGCCCCGUCGGCUCCGCGCUCUCGGCAGAAAAGGCUUUUAUAUGCCCCCUGCCCAUCACUUGGAUCUGAUCUGGGUAAGGGGAGGAUUUUUUUCUGGAAGUACCCCCCCACCCACGGUGAAGGAUUUGAGGCUGGGCUCCAAUCGAGGAGGAGGCUGCAGGGCCCGCGGGGCGCCCCCCACCCCACGCACGCCUCCCGGGAGCCCUGGAAGGCGCAGCCCCGGGGGGGCCCCUGCACCCCCGGAGGAGGCAGCGGCGAUUUGCCCGUUCUGCAUAUUUCCUACCAAUGGAAUCAUACAACUCUCAACCCAAGAAUUCACCUAGAGGUUCAGAGCCUGCAGUUUGUGUUGGGAUGACACUGCAAGGAUGUGCUUAUACUAACGGAACCUUGUCAUGAAGGGGAACGCAACACGCCUGAGAAGGAGGGAGAGAGUGGAAGAGAGGGACUCACUGAAGAGAGCAGCUAUUGCCCAGUGCCCUUCACCAAGGUGGCAUCAUUCACACACCCAUCUACAAUGCACAAGUGAGGGUGUCUGUUUCCAACACCCUUGCCCACCUUGGCAAGGAUGCAGCAUGUCAGGAGGAAGCAAAUCUCAAACUCAGAUAAACUUGCCAGUAAUUUCAGCGUAUGAAACAUGGAAUGUGUCGAGGCCAGAGGAUGGAAAACACUCCGGUUUUGAUAAAAGGAGGUCUGCUCGGCUUGGAAUCCUCCAUCCUGCUAGUCAGCAGACGCAAAGAUUUAUCCAGAAAGGGGCUGAUGAAUUGAGAAAACAGAAAUGAGGCCAAUGUUCUGUGGAGAUAGGGCUGAUUUGAGGUCUGAGGCGGGAAAUAUGCAAGAUGAGCCUGGAACACCUUAUCAUCCAAGUAGCUCAGAAGCUGUUAUGGGGACAUAUCAAAAAGGAAGCAGGAAGACAACGUGAAGAGGCUCCCACUGGCCAAAGAUGGGACAUUUUGAACAUCAAUAAGAAUAAUAACUGCAAUGGAUGGAAAUGUGUUAUGUAUGUCCAAAUCUGAUAUCCACACUUUCCAACUACUGACUAUCUGCUCUGCCAGACCUACAGAAUAUUUUCACUUAACUGAGUGCUCAUAUUUCCAUGAACCCCUGACUCAACGGUGACCCAUGAAUGACGCUCAAUAAACAGUGAUCGAAUGGACCAACCAACACUAUCAUCACCUCUGACUGGGCCUCCAUCUGAAAUUGCAGAAACCCUCUAUAGCUGCCGUGGCCUCCAGUUCCCAUUUCAGACAGGCUGGUAUCCAUGAUGUCACAUGACAGAAGAUGAUUCCAGAGAAACACUGGCCAAAAGGCUCCUGGAGGGAGCUAUGGCAGACAAGACUGGGUGUGGUUUUUCUUUAAUUAUUGUACCUGUUUUGUCUGUUCUUUCUUGGCUCUGUUCACAUCCCCAUCCCAGCACCAGUGCAGGAGAACAAAACAAAAACAAAACAUUAUCGCAGAGUUUGAGACAAGAUGGCUGGCUGGUUCCCUCUCUGCUUGUAAUUAAUGCCAAAAAUGUUCAUGACUUGCCUUGGCCACAAAGGUAAUAAUAAAAUCAGGCGGUCUGAUCAUUUGGCUACUAACUUCCUUCUUCGUUGUUUUUUUUUUUCCUCCCAGUUUCCUUAAAUUAAUUCCAGAGUUCCUCCAGAUUUCUCGUUGCUAAGCUAUAAAAUUCCAAUUUCUCAGCGCCCAUGCUGAUUGGCAGGGAGGCUCCGGGCAGUUCCAAUCAGAAGCAGGUUGCUGAAAGGAACAUCUACAUCGUAGCUUGCCCCGGGGUAUUGGAAUUUUCUCCCUGAUGUUAUGAACCAUCAAAGUCUUUGUCUAACUGUGCAAAACCCGUUCUCUUGAUCUUGUCUGCCUCUCUCUGGAGUGCAGGCUGUUGGGGGGAUGCCAGAGGUCCUGGAAUUUCCCGCUGGUCCUGGAGGAAUAGGGAGUCCCUGGGUCUCCAGGUUGGGGUCAGCGACAGAAAUGCCCACGGCCUGUCCAUGGUUGACCAAAGAUGACAGCAUGGUGCCCUGCCAUGGGCUGGGACAUGCCUCAAUCCUCCCCUGACUGACCUCUCGUGUGCCAUCUCUUAAGCUUGGUGAAAGGCUGAAGGGGGUUGAGGAAAAGUAGGUGCCAUUGGAUGUGGGGUUGUUGCGGAGAGGCUGCAUUUGUAAAGGACUUUAAAACAUGUAGACGGUAAAGGCACCGUGGAGGGCCAUUCUGAUGUUUCACCUCCAGAAUCCUGAUGCAAGCAGCCACCGUGAACUGAGCUCCUACUUUGCCCCAGAAACUUUAUUUUUAUUUUUUAAACCACGUUAUUGAGGUAUGAUUGACAUACAAAAAGCUAUCUAUAUUUAAUGUAUACAACUUGUUGAGUUUGGAGAUAACUAUACACCGUGAGACAUGGAGAACAGACUGGUGGUUGCUAAGGGAGAGGGGGUUGGGGGAGGGAUGGAGUGGAAGAUUGGGGUCAGCAGAUGUGAGCUUUUAUAUAUAGAAUGGACAGACAACAAGGUCCUGCAGUAUAGCACAGGGAACUAUAUUCAAUAUCCUGUGAUAAACCAUAAUGGAAAAUAUUUUAAAACGAAUGUAUACAUAUGUAUAACUGAAUCACUUUGCGGUACAGCAGUAAUGAACACAACAUUGUCAAUCAACUAUAGUUCAAUUAAAAAUAAAAAUAAAAAAUAAGUAUACACCUGUGAAACUACCAUCACAAUCUAUGCCAUAAAUAUAUCCAUCACUUCCAAAAAUUUCCUCCCACCUUCUUUACUAUUAUUUUUUCUUGUGAUAGGAGCAUUUAACAUAAGAUCUACCCUCUUGGUAAAAUUUUAAGUGUACAAUACAGUGUUAACUAUCAUGAUCGUGCUGUACAUUAGAUCUCCAGAACUUAGUCACCUUGCAGACCUGAAGCUUUGUACCCCUUGACCGAUAUCUCCCCAUUUCCCCCUCCUCCCACCCCCUGGAAAUCCCCAUCCUAUUCUCUGGUUCUCCGAGUUUGACUAUUUUAGAUUUCUCCUAUAAGUGGUAUCAUGGAGUGUUUGUCCUGUGUCUGGCUUAUUUCACUUAAGCUAAUGUUCUCAAGGUCCAUCCAUGUGUUCACAUAGUUCAGAAUUUCCUUCUUUUUAAGGCUGAAUAUGCCAUUGCAUGUACCACAUUUUCUUUCUCCAUUCAUCUGUCAAUGGACAUUUAAGUUGACUCCAUGUCUUGGCUAUUGUGCUAGAAACUUUACACACACAUCUCCUCCCAUCCUGAAACUCCCACCGGACAGACAGAGAACAUGAUGGACGUCUGCUGGUUUUCCUUGCACAGCUUUAUUUUUCACCGACAGGGGAGUCAUGCCACAGGGGAAAUCAUGUGACCCAAGCCUGGCCACAGUGAUUGGCUCUGGGAUGGGCACAUAACCAAGUUGGGCCAAUCAGAAUCAUUCUUGUGCCUUUUUUUUUUUUUUUUUUGCCAGAACUAUAGGAAAAGAGCCCCAACUCUUGCCACUGGAUUUGCUGAGCUAGUGACCACUGUGAACACACGUGGAAGGUGCCUGAGGGAGAUAAGGAGCCCCUGUGACAAUGCUUGAGUUCUGCAUGCAGCUCUGGGGAUCUCAGAUCUAGUUCUUGGAUUUUAGUUAAAGGAACAGUAAAUUAUUUGUCUGUUUAAGCCAAUUUGCCUUGUGUGUCUGUUGCUUCUAACUGACAAGAGUGAAUAAUACUGACACAUAGUUUUCUCCUCAUGGUGCCUGGCUCUGGGUUGGGCAAUGUGCAUGUAUUCCCACAUAGGGUCCUUAUAAUCACCUGGUGAGGUAUUCUGUUUUGCAGAUAGAAAAACCAAG